UACGGGGGGAGCAAGCGUUGUUCGGAUUUACUGGGCGUAAAGGGCGCGUAGGCGGCGCAACAAGUCACUUGUGAAAUCUCCGGGCUUAACCCGGAGCGGCCAAGUGAUACUGUCGUGCUAGAGUGCGGAAGGGGCUACUGGAAUUCUCGGUGUAGCGGUGAAAUGCGUAGAUAUCGAGAGGAACACCUGCGGCGAAGGCGGGUAGCUGGGCCGAACACUGACGCUGAGGCGCGAAAGCCAGGGGAGCGAACGGG
This 254-nucleotide ribosomal RNA is filed under the name uncultured bacterium. Its description in RNAcentral is "partial 16S ribosomal RNA". It matches the Rfam family "Bacterial small subunit ribosomal RNA", at positions 524 to 776 of the family's 1533-position model. The record is from RNAcentral.